RNAcentral lists this ribosomal RNA (253 nucleotides) under uncultured bacterium. Its description in RNAcentral is "partial 16S ribosomal RNA". It matches the Rfam family "Bacterial small subunit ribosomal RNA", at positions 524 to 776 of the family's 1533-position model. The record is from RNAcentral.
UACGUAGGGUGCAAGCGUUAUCCGGAAUUAUUGGGCGUAAAGAGCUCGUAGGUGGUUUGUCGCGUUGUUCGUGAAAACUCACAGCUUAACUGUGGGCCGUGCGGGCGAUACGGGCAGACUUGAGUACUGCAGGGGAGACUGGAAUCCUGGUGUAGCGGUGGAAUGCGCAGAUAUCAGGAGGAACACCGGUGGCGAAGGCGGGUCUCUGGGCAGUAACUGACGCUGAGGAGCGAAAGCGUGGGGAGCGAACAGG